This 1320-nucleotide ribosomal RNA is filed under the name Nocardia brasiliensis. RNAcentral describes it as "bacterial SSU rRNA". It matches the Rfam family "Bacterial small subunit ribosomal RNA", at positions 110 to 1443 of the family's 1533-position model. Lineage: Bacteria; Bacillati; Actinomycetota; Actinomycetes; Mycobacteriales; Nocardiaceae. The record is from RNAcentral.
GUAACACGUGGGUGAUCUGCCUCGCACUUCGGGAUAAGCCUGGGAAACUGGGUCUAAUACCGGAUAUGACCUUUCAGUGCAUGCUGUUGGGUGGAAAGAUUUAUCGGUGCGAGAUGGGCCCGCGGCCUAUCAGCUUGUUGGCGGGGUAACGGCCCACCAAGGCGACGACGGGUAGCCGACCUGAGAGGGUGACCGGCCACACUGGGACUGAGACACGGCCCAGACUCCUACGGGAGGCAGCAGUGGGGAAUAUUGCACAAUGGGCGGAAGCCUGAUGCAGCGACGCCGCGUGAGGGAUGACGGCCUUCGGGUUGUAAACCUCUUUCGACAGGGACGAAGCGCAAGUGACGGUACCUGUAGAAGAAGCACCGGCCAACUACGUGCCAGCAGCCGCGGUAAUACGUAGGGUGCGAGCGUUGUCCGGAAUUACUGGGCGUAAAGAGCUUGUAGGCGGUUUGUCGCGUCGUCCGUGAAAACUUGGGGCUCAACCCCAAGCUUGCGGGCGAUACGGGCAGACUUGAGUACUUCAGGGGAGACUGGAAUUCCUGGUGUAGCGGUGAAAUGCGCAGAUAUCAGGAGGAACACCGGUGGCGAAGGCGGGUCUCUGGGAAGUAACUGACGCUGAGAAGCGAAAGCGUGGGUAGCGAACAGGAUUAGAUACCCUGGUAGUCCACGCCGUAAACGGUGGGUACUAGGUGUGGGUUUCCUUCCACGGGAUCCGUGCCGUAGCUAACGCAUUAAGUACCCCGCCUGGGGAGUACGGCCGCAAGGCUAAAACUCAAAGGAAUUGACGGGGGCCCGCACAAGCGGCGGAGCAUGUGGAUUAAUUCGAUGCAACGCGAAGAACCUUACCUGGGUUUGACAUACACCGGAAACCUGCAGAGAUGUAGGCCCCCUUGUGGUCGGUGUACAGGUGGUGCAUGGCUGUCGUCAGCUCGUGUCGUGAGAUGUUGGGUUAAGUCCCGCAACGAGCGCAACCCUUGUCCUGUGUUGCCAGCGCGUAAUGGCGGGGACUCGCAGGAGACUGCCGGGGUCAACUCGGAGGAAGGUGGGGACGACGUCAAGUCAUCAUGCCCCUUAUGUCCAGGGCUUCACACAUGCUACAAUGGCCGGUACAGAGGGCUGCGAUACCGUGAGGUGGAGCGAAUCCCUUAAAGCCGGUCUCAGUUCGGAUCGGGGUCUGCAACUCGACCCCGUGAAGUUGGAGUCGCUAGUAAUCGCAGAUCAGCAACGCUGCGGUGAAUACGUUCCCGGGCCUUGUACACACCGCCCGUCACGUCAUGAAAGUCGGUAACACCCGAAGCCGGUGGCCUCACCCCU